CUGGGAGAGCUAAUACCCACGUGACGCGUUCGCCCAAUCAGCUGCCGGUCGACGUCCCUGGUCCCUCCCCUUUCUGCUUUGUAGUCAAGAUGGCGCGCGUUUAGUGCACGUAGUGUCCAUCGUUCCACACUGAACUUUUUGACCGUUUUUAGGGGGUCAUCCUGGUACUUUCAGUGCACUGACUUUUUGCGUUAUCUACACUAUAUACUUAAAACUAAGUGUCUGAAGUGUGUAAGUAGGCG
Molecule: long non-coding RNA, 242 nt
Organism: Sander lucioperca (pikeperch)
Lineage: Eukaryota; Metazoa; Chordata; Actinopteri; Perciformes; Percidae
Exons: 3
Source: RefSeq, a predicted model, not a curated record